Camellia sinensis is the source of this 1017-nucleotide long non-coding RNA. RefSeq lists it as uncharacterized. Lineage: Eukaryota; Viridiplantae; Streptophyta; Magnoliopsida; Ericales; Theaceae. The record is from RefSeq and is a predicted model, not a curated record.
CAUUUGCCGACUAAAAAUUAAUUUCGUCGCCAAAGGCGUGAAAAUUUUAGAGGGAAACCAUUUAAUUGCCCCCGCCUGUUCUCUGUUUAAACCAAUCAGAUUGUUCUCUCUCAUACAGAUUCUCCUUCACCACCAAACCUCACCCCGUCUCACCUCACUCUGUGACUUAGGCCUUAAAAACAUGUUCGUCUCUCUCUCACUCUGUGACUCUCUCAGUCUGCGACUGUCUCUGUCUCUCGCAUCUGCCUUCCUCUGAUUCUCUCUCUCGCAUCUGCCCAGCUCCGAUUCUCUCUCUCUCUCUCUCUCUCUCUCGCUUUUGUCUUCAUCGUCGUUGGUACAGGAGCACCAUCGGUGUCGACGCCCGUCGCACAUAAGGACCAUCGCAAACCAACAACCUAUAUCAUCUUAUCUCGUAGUCACGAUCCAUCAUUGGGGCACUAGCCAAGGGUUCUUGCACUGCAUCCAUUUCAACGCACCAAUACUCAACAGAUAUGUGCUCAGUUUUUUUAUUGGCCUCCUGAGAAAACAGAUGCAUGUCAAGUGUCCUGUAUCUAGAAUCAUCAAGCAGAGAAAAAUUCAAGGACAAGAUUGCUUGGAGGUUUCUUGGGAAGAAAUGCAUGGGUGGGCUUAACACCCCAAUAGUUCCAGCUGAUCUAAUUGAGAGGAUCCUUGGCGAGCAAGUGCAAAUUGCUCAUGAAAAUAGCACUAAUGUCAUGCUGUACAAAAUUGCUUUGUCCAUUAUUUAGAUGAAUGAAUUCGUGCACAAAGCUAAAUUGUACAUGACUAAUUGGCACUAUAAGAAUUUUUGGAAGUAUUAUAUAUUUUUGGUUAGAUGUGUAUGGAAUAUAUUUCGAUAGAAUAGUAGUUAUAUUUUUUGAUGGGUGUAUAUGGAAAUAUUUGGAUAGACUAGUUGUAUUUUUUGAUAAAUGCGCAUGGAUAAAAGUUUAAAUUGGAAGAAUAUGUACUUUGGAAUUACUUGUGGAUGGAAACUUAUAAUAGUUGCUGAUUUUUAUUAAA